Neopsephotus bourkii (Bourke's parrot) is the source of this 244-nucleotide long non-coding RNA. RefSeq lists it as uncharacterized. Lineage: Eukaryota; Metazoa; Chordata; Aves; Psittaciformes; Psittacidae. The record is from RefSeq and is a predicted model, not a curated record. The transcript has 2 exons.
UUUGCAGAUUGGUUAUUUCUCAGAGGUUAUUGGGGGUCAUUAUUGUAAAUCUCAUUACCUUGCUUGAAGGAGAAGGUCUCUUUCAUUAUUGCGGUGCUGAGGUCCAUAUCCCCGAAGCUAAUUGCAAGGUUUGAUAAAAUAGUUCCCUUUUCAGUUGCUGCUCCAACCUCUCCUGUAAGUUGCUGCCAUUGAAUUGCAAAUGUUCUGCAGCACCUUCUAAACUGCUGGAGUCAUCAACUAAAAG